GGAGGAUGCAGAAGAAGCAGGAUCUUGCAGGGGCAGCUUGAUUAUCCUAUCCCAAUAAUAGAUUGGAUAAUCAUGGCAAAGCUGUUGUGCUCAUUUUAAAUACAGAAAUGAGUGUAAGGUUUCCAUAAUCUGUGAAGCCCUGAUGAAAAGAGCUCUUUCAACCUCAAUCCUGCAGCGUUUAAAAGUCCAUCCGUCCACACUUUGGAAGAUGGCAGCAGUAAAGAGAAGAUGAAGUGACUUCCUGCUUAAUCCUCUUAAGGGUUGGAACCAACAUUUCUCCAAGGUGAAAUCUGAAGGAGAAUUUCAGGGUUCCUCCAAGGAGAUAUCAACAUCUGAAAAGGAUUUCCAGGCUUUGCACCAGGGAGAAGCAUCAGGAAUUUUUCUCAGACAGUAUCUUCACACAUUCAUAUCCUGCUUCAUACAUUCAUAUCCUACUUUCGCUCCAAGGAAGCUCAGGUUGGUGUACAGAGUGUGAAGCACAUAAGGAUAGCUGGCUAGAAG
This is a long non-coding RNA of Hemicordylus capensis (graceful crag lizard), 501 nucleotides long. RefSeq lists it as uncharacterized. The record is from RefSeq and is a predicted model, not a curated record. The transcript is spliced from 4 exons. Lineage: Eukaryota; Metazoa; Chordata; Lepidosauria; Squamata; Cordylidae.